Molecule: non-coding RNA, 31 nt
Filed under: Homo sapiens (human)
Lineage: Eukaryota; Metazoa; Chordata; Mammalia; Primates; Hominidae
Source: RNAcentral
UCCCAAGAUGGGUGCCACCCUUCCAGACUCC